CCAUCUGUAGGAUAAAUUCCAAGUCGUGGGACUGGUGAUUCAAAGGGCGUAUUUACAGCGACUUUGUUUUUUUAAUUAAUGAAUGUUGAAUUCGAAGAAUUCGUAGGAAGCCCUGAGGGGAACCGAAGCAACUCGCCAAGGCUGCGCUAUUCCGGGUGACGAUUGCAGCAGCCGCUGACAGAGCCAGCGCCAGGGCUGCGCGGGAGGGCCGCACGCCCAGCUCCCCUCACCACUCGGACCCGCGGGAUUCCACCGCGCCUGCCCCCCGCGCCUCUCCCCGCCCCGGUGCGCGGCGCCCCCAGCCCGGAGCUGGAGGACCCAGGCACGUGCGUUUCCACGUGAGCCCCUCGGCCGCCGCGCAAGUGAAGAGUACGCAUGCGCCUGCCGCGGGAGAAAGUAGUGCUCAUCGAUAGUCCUUAUAUGUCUCAAAGAUGUGUGGCACUUCUGGAUCAUGCCCUAAAAGAAAAGAUCAUUUUGCCUUUCCUUCUCUCAUCUGUCUUGGAGGCAAACACAAGGGUGGCAAAUGGAGCAGACCAUGCAGAAAUAGGACCAUUGUCUUGAGGAUGACAGAGCCAUCUACAACUACUGGGCUGCUUGCCUCUGAAUAAUUACAGGAGAAAGGAAUAAAUUUAAAACCUGUUUGAGCCCCUAAACUUUUUGAGUCUCUUUGUUACAGCAUCUUAGACUCUACCUAACCUUUAUUGCACACUUAAAUAAAAUCUGAAG
Molecule: long non-coding RNA, 726 nt
Filed under: Dasypus novemcinctus (nine-banded armadillo)
Lineage: Eukaryota; Metazoa; Chordata; Mammalia; Cingulata; Dasypodidae
Description: lncRNA (ENSDNOG00000050466.1)
Source: RNAcentral